RNAcentral lists this ribosomal RNA (405 nucleotides) under uncultured bacterium. RNAcentral describes it as "partial 16S ribosomal RNA". It matches the Rfam family "Bacterial small subunit ribosomal RNA", at positions 30 to 526 of the family's 1533-position model. The record is from RNAcentral.
AUUGAACGCUAGCGGGAUGCUUUACACAUGCAAGUCGAACGAGUGGCGGACGGGUGAGUAAUAUAUAGGAACGUGCCCAGUAGCGGGGGCUAACUCCUCGAAAGAGUGGCUAAUACCGCCUACUAUUGGAGCGGCCGAUAUAGGAUUAGCUAGUUGGUGGGGUAAAGGCUCACCAAGGCAACGAUCCGUAGCUGGUUUGAGAGGACGACCAGCCACACUGGGACGGAUACACGGCCCAAACUCCUACGGGAGGAAGCAGUGGGGAAUUUUGGACAAUGGGGGAAACCCUGAGCCAGCCAUCCCGCGUGUAUGAGAAGGCCUUCGGGUUGUAAAGUACUUUUGGCAGAGAAGCGGUAUCUGCAGAAUAAGCACCGGCUAACUACGUGCCAGCAGCCGCGGUAAUUC